Molecule: ribosomal RNA, 198 nt
Filed under: Triticum aestivum (bread wheat)
Lineage: Eukaryota; Viridiplantae; Streptophyta; Magnoliopsida; Poales; Poaceae
Description: partial small subunit ribosomal RNA
Source: RNAcentral
AUGGCAUGGAUUAUUAUGCAAACAAGGCCACACAACCCUCUCAGGUCACUAUAUCAGAUUCGCAGCAGUUGGAAUGUCCCGAGGAGAAUUGUCGCUCACCUAGACCAAACUUACCUGCUCCUGUGGAAUCAUGCAUGCCUAAUGAUACUGAAGAGGACAAUGGAAGCACUAAUUGGUUUUGCACCGGUGAUCCAUUAG